ACUAUAUCCUCUUACUAUUCAUGACCCUUAUUAAGAGACAGAUAUCACAGAAAAGCCGUUGAGAACAUGUCUAGAUCAUUUUUUAGCUUAACUUCGAAUUUUUAAGACCAUUGGGACAUUUUUUAAUGACAAUCAUAUUUUCCUUUUCUAUUCUUGAGUUUGGUUCAGUGACAAUCUCAUUUUUCUGGACAUUCUUUGGAGGUUUUGUUUUUAUUUCCUGACUUUCAUGAAAGUUCAAUCACAUGACACUUGAUGUAUAAUCUUCCAGCCAGUCAUGGCACAAGCUGAUUGGUUAUCUACUUUUAAUCUGUCAACCAGUCAGCUUGCAUCCUGUGCAAACGAGCUAAUAGGCAAUUAAUUUGUCAGCCAAUGACAUUGCAUGCACCUUAUACCACUAACAUUUAAAUAGCCAGCUUCAAGCAUUUGCUGUAAGAUGGUUCACUGCAGUGUCAACAGUUUUCUGGCUCAUGGACUUUAUUAAACUUGCUAUGUGAUAUCCUGCCUUUGCUAAUGGUAAGCUUUGGCCUUCUUGAUGUUGUAUAGAAGUUUCUUGCUAGGCAUUGGGCUCCAAUGAUGUUUGUUUCCUGAAGUUCAUGAAAAUCUUGUGCUCUGCAGAAGUAAUACAGGUUUGGUGUGACAUGAGGGGUGCCUUUGCAAGUCUCUCCAUCUCCAAUAAAGCCAAGCCUACAAGUGCAGUUCCUCUCCAGAGGUCCUGUCAUGGUACAUUGAGCAUACCUGUGGCAUCCUCCAUUUUUCUGACAAAACAAGUAAUUGUGAGGCACUGUGCCA
Molecule: long non-coding RNA, 789 nt
Organism: Ctenopharyngodon idella (grass carp)
Lineage: Eukaryota; Metazoa; Chordata; Actinopteri; Cypriniformes; Xenocyprididae
Exons: 4
Source: RefSeq, a predicted model, not a curated record